RNAcentral lists this ribosomal RNA (559 nucleotides) under uncultured bacterium. RNAcentral's name for it is "bacterial SSU rRNA". It matches the Rfam family "Bacterial small subunit ribosomal RNA", at positions 366 to 917 of the family's 1533-position model. The record is from RNAcentral.
GCNCAUGGCCGCAGGCUGACGCAGCGACGCCGCGUGUGGGAUGACGGCCUUCGGGUUGUAAACCACUGUCGAGAGGGACGAAUACAGGGCCUCGAAUAGGGGACCCUGGGUGACGGUACCUCUAAAGGAAGCACCGGCUAACUCCGUGCCAGCAGCCGCGGUAAUACGGAGGGUGCGAGCGUUGUCCGGAAUUACUGGGCGUAAAGGGCGCGUAGGCGGUUCGCUAAGUUGCUGGUGAAAUCCCGGGGCUCAACUCCGGGGCUGCCGGUAAGACUGGCGGGCUCGAGCACGGUAGAGGCAGAUGGAAUUCCCGGUGUAGCGGUGGAAUGCGUAGAUAUCGGGAAGAAUACCGGUGGCGAAGGCGUUCUGCUGGGCCGUUGCUGACGCUGAGGCGCGACAGCGUGGGGAGCAAACAGGAUUAGAUACCCUGGUAGUCCACGCCGUAAACGAUGGACACUAGGCGUCGGGGGGAGCGACCCUCCCGGUGCCGUCGCUAACGCAGUAAGUGUCCCGCCUGGGGAGUACGGCCGCAAGGCUGAAACUCAAAGAAAUUGACGGA